UUUCAACAAGUAUUUAUGGAGUAUCUACUACAUCCUUGGCAAUGUUUUAGGUAUGUUCUGUACAUUAUUUCAUUUGUCCUCAGAGAAACUCUAUGUGGUUUGCAUUAAUACCUGUACUUUCUAGGUGAGGAUGCUGAAGCUCAGGGAUGCUGAAUGACUUGUCCAAGGCAUCUAGUAAAUAAUUCUGAGUUGAACAGAAGGUCUGGAAAAUUAGGAAACUGGCUUUUACCAUGGGAUGCAGAUGAAUCAGACCUGCUAAUGUGUGAAUCGUCACAGCUUUGAAGCAUCUCUGGAUAACAUGUGACUUCUUGGAUGAACUAUAAUUGAAACUCACAGGCCCACCAAAUGGUCAGUCAUCUCUUCUGGUUUCUGGACUCUGACUUCCCUGAGGACAAGAACCACUGACAUUUAACUUGUCUCUGUCACACCCCUGCCUAGACAGGGCCUGGCAUGUAAUGGGCAGUCAAGUGACGUCUGUAGAAUGAACUAAUGAAUGAAUGAAUGAAUGGGCCCACAAUCAGAGCGUCCCAAACCUGGCUGUUUUGGGAAGCCACACUUGCUUGCCAUUUGGGUUCCUCCCCAAAGCAAGAAUAUUAACAAUGAGAGACAAAUCCAUAAGCCCCUAUGCUCAGGGCUUUCUCAGCUCAUUGCCAGUAUGUUUGAAAGAAGUCGAGUAGGCCAGCCUGGGGAAUAUGCCGCAUUUCUCUCUAAUAUGGUUUGGCUCUGUGUCCCCACUCAAAUCUCAUCUCGAAUUAUAAUUCCCACCUGUUGAGGGAGGGAAGUGACUGGAUCAUGGGGGCGGUUUCCCCUGUGCUGUUCUCGUGAUAAUGAAGGAGCUCUCACGAGAUCUCAUGGUUUUAUAAGUGUCCGGCAUUUCACCUGCUUGUAUUACUCGCUCCUGCUGCCUUGUGAAGAAAGUGUCUUGCUUCCCCUUCGCCUUCUACCAUGAUUGUAAGUAUCCUGAGGACUCCCCAGCCAUGUGGAACUGUGAGUCAGUUAAACCUUUUUGCCUUAUACAUUGCCUGGUCUCGGGCAGUUCUUUAUAGCAGUGUGAGAAUGGACUAAUACACCCUCUUAUCUGUGUGGAUUUUUUUUUGCCAGGUAGGCUCCAGAGCUGUCUUUCCCCACCCCUCUGUCACCUAUCUGGUGUCACUGCGUGACCCAAAUGGCUGGCUGAAUGACAGUCUAUCUUGUUAAAUCAUCUUGACUCAUUUUUUUUCUUGAAAAAUUUUGCUUGCCUUAAACAUGUGCUAACUGGAUUGGACUUGCAAGGGCCCUGUACUAGAUAAAGCUAAUGCUGUUACUAUCUUAUUUAUAUUGCCUUCUCAAGGGUGGUUAUUUAGCUUAGACUUUCUCCGAGGAAGGAAUAGCUAAAUUGCUUCAAAGGAACAUUCUUUUUCCCAAAUAGGAAUUCCCUGGUCAUAGCUUAUCUCAGCAAGAACCAUAUACUUGCGACGACAUGAGCCAGAUUCUCCUACUGUGUGAUUUUACUGGAAUUCCCCACAAUUCUGUAGUAACUUGAUGCUGACCUUAAGUUUCUUUCAGCAAUGAUACUGUAUAGUCUCCUUUUGAGUUUGGACACUGGCAAGAGAAACUUAAGCUGGCUGAACAACACAGGAUGAAAGUUUGUAAGUGGG
This 1637-nucleotide long non-coding RNA is filed under the name Homo sapiens (human). RNAcentral describes it as "HSALNT0218856". Lineage: Eukaryota; Metazoa; Chordata; Mammalia; Primates; Hominidae. The record is from RNAcentral.